CGCGAAUGUUUUUUGAAACCUGCCCGGCAACGGACGACGCGAUCAUGUGCUGCCAUGCAGCAGCAGCAGCUGACAGAGUUUUCGAUUGGACUAGACUGAGUUUAAGGAGUUUUUUAACCCAAAGACAGUGAAGUAUGGAAGGGGAGAUUUGGAGGUAUCUGGUCAGGCCUUUGUCAGCCUACAAAUCCCAGAUGUGGAGACUGCAGGGAUAUCUCACGGAGAGGACACUAAAGACCCAUCUCUCAUUCAUCGAGUGGACUCAUUGGUUUGCGAAUGACCACAAAGAUGCUCCCAUGGGCAGAUUGCUGCAUGGCAUUUGCCACUUAUUCAAAUUGUAGAGGUUGAAGCAGUCUUCAUUGUGGUCACUUGCCAUAACACUGUCAUGUGUUUUAUCAAAACAACAUCAGUAACAUUUAAAUUGAGUUGAUGUGGACGGCUCUUUUUUUUUGUCCGAUUUUUUCAGUGUUCAGUGCCUGUUUGUGAGAUAUGCAUUGUUUGAAAGAUAAGCCUUUGAUUUUGUUUAAUUUUAAUAUGCCUUUCAUCAACAGUGGUUUGGGGUUUUAUAACAACAAUUAAAAUGAUUAACUACUGGUGAACGAAGUUGCAGAACAUAUAUGGUACAAGUUUGUGUUGAUUGCAUGGAAAAGGGAAUAACCAGUUAUAACUUAUAUGGUAAGAGCCUGGUAAUACCAUGGAAACAAACCAGGCUUCCAUUUACACUACAGUUUCAGCUUACUCAGUGGUUAAAUUGUCAUGUUUUACUUAGUAACGUCGCAGAACGCACAUGGUACAAGUUGGUGUUGACUGCAUGGAAAAGGGACUUAUGUAUUACAAAUUAUAUGGUAAGAACCUGGUAAUACCAUGGAAAUAAACGAGGCUUCCUUUUACAGUACAUUUUCAGCUUACUUACUUGGUAAACUGUUGUGUUUUACUUGGUAACGUCGCAGAACGUGCAUGGUACAAGUUUGUGUUGACUGCAUG
This is a long non-coding RNA of Gadus morhua (Atlantic cod), 981 nucleotides long. NCBI's taxonomy places the organism in Eukaryota, Metazoa, Chordata, Actinopteri, Gadiformes, Gadidae. The record is from Ensembl.